Myiozetetes cayanensis is the source of this 157-nucleotide long non-coding RNA. RefSeq lists it as uncharacterized. The record is from RefSeq and is a predicted model, not a curated record. The transcript has 3 exons. NCBI's taxonomy places the organism in Eukaryota, Metazoa, Chordata, Aves, Passeriformes, Tyrannidae.
CCCAGGUGUGUCCCCAAUGUCCCAGGUGUGUCCCAGGUGUGUCCCAGGUGUGUUUCAGUGUCCCAGGUGUGUCCCAGGUGUGUUUCAGUGUCCCAGGGGUGUCCCCAAUGUCCCCAGGUGUGUCCCAGGUGUGUCCCAGGUGUGUCCCCAAUGUCCC